AUUCACAGCAAUGUGAACGUAUAGCAACAGUCACGCUAUAUGGUUUUGGCAGAACUAAAAACUGUU
This 66-nucleotide non-coding RNA is filed under the name unclassified sequences. The record is from Rfam.